GGGGAGGGGCAGAGGGGGCAGGGGAACAGAGAAUCUGAAGCAGUCUGACGGCAGAGAGUCCAAUGGUGCGGCUCAGACUCACCAAUUGUGACCUGAGCUGAAAGUGGGCAGUUAACCAACUGAGCCACCAAGGUGCCCCUCUUUUCCCAUUCUAACUCUGAUCCUUGUAAAGUGCGGUACACAGAACCCACUUGUGUGAUUUCACCUGACCAGAGUUAAGCCUCUCCAUUCUAUCAUUCUACAGACAGUGACUGAAUUGGAAGAAAAAAAAAAGAACAAACACAAGAAACAAACUAAGAUUUUUGUAGGCAGCCUCAUCAGACUGAAUAGAAUACUGAUUUAUCAAAAAAAAAUUUUUUUUUAACGUUUAAUUAUUUUUGAGAGACCGAGAGAAACAGACCAUGAGCAGGGGAGGGGCAGAGAAAGAGAGGGAGACACAGAAUUUGAAGCAGGCUCCAGGCUCCGAGCUGUCAGCACAGAGCCCGAUGCGGGGCUCAAGCUCAUGAACUGUGAGAUCAUGACCUGAGCCGAAGUCGGACGCUCAACCCACGGAGCCACCCAGGCGCCCCUGAAUAUAAUACCGAUGGAAAUUCCUAAGCCAUUCCCACAUGCCCUCCUGCUGAGCUACAACCCUUUCCACUCUGCUUGCACUUGGGCCCUGUACAAAGCCUCAGAUUGCUUCAUGAUGACGUUUCCUCUUAUUGUUGGGAACAAUUGUCAAAGGCCUUGAAAUGGGCAAAACAAUCACUGAGUUUCUUUGAAGGGAUUGCUGGGCGUUAUCUGGCAGAUUCUUCUGGGUUGCCUGCUUUGACAGAGGUCUGUGCCUUUCACUGUUUUCGACUAAACUAUUUUGCGACUGUGAGUUAUAGAAAGCCCAUCGCAAUGCAAAUCUUGUCCACCGAGAAAUAGAAAUGAAUUUUGUCCGGUGGACGUGCGAUUGAUUUCCACCCUGUGAAAGAGGCUGCCAAUCUUACAUCUAGUAGCAAAAUUAUUUCACCAUUUCUAAUUGCUUUUAUGUGUGUCUAUUCUUUGGGUACUGCUUGAACCGGUAACAUUUUGUAAUAUUUCACUGCCUCUGUGACCAAUUAAUGAAUAGUUAAUUGAUGGACACAUGUCUAUUUUAUAUUUGUAUAAGAACCCUGAUUGUUGCUUAAAAAUAAUGUUUAGGGGUGCCAGGGUGGCUCAGUGAGUUGAGUGUCCAACUCUUGAUUUUGGCUCAGUCAUGAUCUCAUGGUUGUGGGAUCGAGGCCCACAUCGAGCCCCAUGCUAAGCAUGGAGCCUAUUUGGGAUUCUCUCUCUCUGUCUCUCUGAAUCUCUUUCUCUUUCUCUCUGCCAAAAAGAAAUAAACAUUAAAAAAAAUCUUUAACGCUGAUUUUCUCACGUCGUCACAGCUGGCGAGGCAUGAACAGGGCAAAAAUGGAAACUAAACAAACAGUAAAGACCCUGUUUGAGAUUGAAAUGGGUCUGCUAACCCGUAUCUCUAAGUGAAGUUGUUCAACCAGUUACUAAUCCAUUUAAUCAUACUGAUACGAUUCUACUUGCAAACAGGCUGUCCCUAAGUGUGAUUUUCUUAAGUCCAAAGUGAUUAAGAGGGGUUAAAACCUGCUGUCCCCAGUGAUCAUUCCCACCAAGGAUGAGCAGAGGUCAGAUUUUAUAACUUUAAAAUCAGUCAUAGAUUUCUCCUCCUUGCUCAUUUACAUUUUAAUGGAUACCCUUUGCCAGGAUAGAUUAGUUUUACCUACACUGAAAAUCCUUAAUGAUCUUGUUGAAUGGAACUGAGCAGGAGAAAUAUAUUGCUCUGGAGAAGGGGAAUUUGGGGGUUGGUUAGUAGAAACAGAAUGUGUUAAGUGGGUAAAGUUAAGGCCUGUUACAGGCCGCCGAGACUUGGUGGAGGAACAGAUACGGUGAUGAGGAGGUGGCCGCAGUGAUGGCAUUUUUGGCUACAUGACAAUGAGCCCACUGAGAAUGCCGUUGGGCUGAAUGAAUGGAGGAGACGGCAUAAGGGACACUCAAUGGUGCCGGCGCUCUCCUCCCUGGAAACAGGGCCCUUCCCGCGUGCUCGUGAUGUUAUAAUGAUAAAGUAAGCACGCGAAUCUGGUCUCAAGCAAGCCUGCGUCUAGGGAUGGCACCCCGGCAGAAGGAGAGGAGGGUUCAGCAGUCAGAGGACGAGAUGCUGGACAGGAAAGAAUGAGUUAGGAGAACAGGAACUGACGAGGCAGGCUGGGCGCUGGAGACCUUGGGUACUGCCUACCAGUAGCUUCUCCCAGUUUGGGUCGGUGGGUCUGAGUACAUGAUAGUCUGAAGUAUGGCUCCACCAUGCCUCACCAUGGCCAUCGGUGCACCAAAGCUACAUCUGUUUAGAAGGAACAAGAGAGAUGAGACAACAAGUUGUGGUUAGUGUGCAGGACAUUCCUUAGCACCUGCUGCCUUCAAAUGCAGAAACUGCUGACAAUGGCGUUGUGACGCCCACUUGACCGCAGUUGAUCGUGGGUGAAGCCGUCGAACUCUCACUCCGUCCGCAUCUAUGAAAGGUCUUCUGCUGAAAAGCUUCCGUGUUCUGUUUUAGCCCACACUCUCGACCUUCUCCCCGAGGAUGAUGAGAGAGGGACUUAUUUAAUGUCUUGCUAAAGUCCUGACUCGGGCUCCAUAUCCGCAGUCCUUUUCUCUCGCUGGGAGCGGGUGUCACUUACCUCACGCACUUGCCCACCCAGGACAUCUGACCCAGCUUGUAUAACUGGAGCCAAAGGCCUUCCUGGCACAGAAAGGGGCCCAAAAGGUGAUGAAAUUGAAACUCCAGGAUUAGCGCACUUGUGCCUGGUCACGUAGAUGAAAGCUGGCUGGUUCUUAGAUACGCUCCAGCCCGGCCUGUUUAUCUCGUGAGCUUCAGAAGGCAAGCCGCCCCCGCCCGCCAUGGCUCCUUCCCCGUGUGAUUACAUCUUUCCUUGAUCCCACUGACAGAGCAUUGCUGUUGAGUUGGUGUGGAUGCUGCUGAAUGCUCACUGUCACUUUCUGUAUUCAUCUUGGGGAGCAGUAACCCAGCCUGUCGGGGCCUCCUGCACAGACCACCCUUUGAACGGUGUUCUGAGCCUUCAGUGACGCUGGCAGCGAUGAUGCAUUACAAAACCAAACAAAUUAGUCCUCAGGACAGACGACCCGGGGGCAAAUCAACCACCACAACAGAAAAGACAAGCUUUCAAACCAACGAGAGAAGACAAGAUUGUAAUGCCUUCCUAACAACCUUGCUUUAUUGAUGCAAUGCAAGGAAAACUACAUUAGAUUCUAUUGAUUCUCUUUGAGAUCUAAUAAUAUGCUCUAUUCAGAUCUUAUUCACAUACACUUCCUCCACAGUCUUUCUCAGGAGCUGAAAUUGGCCAGUUACAAACAGAAUUUGUUCUCCUGUCCUUUGAAAUCACAGAAGCGGACGUGUUUUCGAACACAAAAGAUAUGAAGCUUUCUUUGGGAAACAAAGCAUAGUAGGGAAAAAUAUCUCCCCUCUAAACAAAAUUGAAAGCAUGCCUUACUUCAGAUUUAUUUGAUUACAGAAUCUUCCUCGGGGCUAAUCAGUUUUCGAACCCAUUCCUAUUGGCACCAGUGAGCUAAUAAAAAACCCAGAAAGAGAGAAGUAUCACAACAACUCAGAGAAACAAGGUUGUUCAUUUAAAAAAAAAAAAAAAAAAAGCAUUGAAUUAAUGUUUACACUGCUGAGUCAAAUUAUUUAUAUGUAUGCUAUAGGUUUUGCAUCCCCAGAAUUUGUUAGCAUUCAGAGUAUGAUAAAUUGUACCUGGCUGACUUGUGAAAAAUCAUCUCGAGAAAGAUUUUUUUUUUUUCCAGUGGGAAAAUAUAUGGAUGACACACGGUGGCUUAUUGAAACUGUUCUUUGGGUGAACAGCCAGAACAAUUCAGCAGAAGGGAGAGGCGGAUUUACAAAUUAUUAUUUUUUAUUUUUUGAGAGAGAGAAUGAGCAGGGGAGGGGCAGAGAGACAGGCAGAGAGAGAAUCCCAAGCAGGCUCCACACCGUCAGCACAGAACCCGAUGCAGGGCUCGAACUCACGAACCAUGAGAUCAUGACCUGAGCUGAAACCAGGAGUCAGACGCUCAACUGACCGAGCCCCCCAGGCGCCCCACGGAGAGGCGGGGUCUUGGAUGUCACAGUGGAUGAUUAAGAAUUUUGGCUUUGGGGCAGUGUUGUGAUAAUGCUCAUCAGGUAACUUCUGUACCUUGUCUGCAUCUGUACGGUAGGUUGGAAACUCAGGGUUUUCUGCAAAUAUUCAAAGCAAUAAAACACACAGCACUACAGGAGCCCGUCCAGGGUUAAGAAUCUAAUAAAUGUCAGCUUUUGUAUCCUUA
This is a long non-coding RNA of Neofelis nebulosa (Clouded leopard), 4347 nucleotides long. RefSeq lists it as uncharacterized. The record is from RefSeq and is a predicted model, not a curated record. The transcript is spliced from 6 exons. Lineage: Eukaryota; Metazoa; Chordata; Mammalia; Carnivora; Felidae.